UAGCUCGCUAAAUCCACAGAACUUCCUGCUUAGAACUGUUCAGGAAAAAGAAAUAAUGGCGACGUUUCUGGGGUCUGAGUCCCCUUGGACUGGAGGAAAACGAAGCAGUCGCAAUAUCAUUUCAAAAAUCACACACAGUCAGAUCGCAGGCCAGGGUUUCAGCAGAGGGACACAGCUCCCAGAGGCUCUGCUCCAGGAGAGAGAUAAGAGGGCCAAAUGGCACGGCAUCCCUGAGCUGCUGCAGAAGCUCCAUGAGAGCAGCCAUCCUAACAGUGACCUCUCCCACACACACAGUGUACUAAAGGAACUAUCAUCCCUACUUUCCAUGGAGGCAAUGUCUUUUGUCACAGAAGACAGGAAGAGUGCUCAAGAAUCCACCUUUCCCAACACAUACACCUUUGACCUCUUUGGUGGAGUUGAUCUGCUGGUAGAGAUCUUGAUGAGGCCUACACUCACUAUGCAGAAGAAGAAACCUCAAAUGAAUGAUGACUUAGUCAAGGACUGCCUCAGUGUUCUUUAUAACUGCUGUAUAUGUACGGAAGGGGUUACAAAGAGCCUUGCAGCCAGAGACGACUUUGUCCUGUUUCUCUUCACCUUGAUGACGAACAAGAAGACGUUUCUACAGACUGCCACUUUAAUCGAGGAUAUUCUCGGCGUCAAGAAGGACAUGAUCCAGUUGGAGGGGAUUCCUAACCUGUCUGGUCUGGUCCAGAGCUUCGACCAGCAGCAGCUGGCUAACUUCUGCCGCAUCCUCUCUGUCACCAUCUCAGAACCCGACGUGAGAAAUGAUGACAAACACACCCUGCUGGCCAAGAAUGCACAGCAGAAACGCAACGCAAGCCCCUCACGUGCAGAGGUCAAUCAAGUUACCCUCCUGAACAUCCCGGGCUUCAUCGAGCGCCUGUGUAAGCUGGCCACCAGGAAGGUGUCUGAGGCCACCGGGGCGUCGAACUUCCUGCAGGAGCUGGAGGACUGGUACACGUGGCUGGACAACGCCUUGGUGCUGGACGCCCUCAUGCAGAUGGCCACGGAGGAAGCUGAGCACAGCAGCACAGAGUCAUCAGAUGAGAGUUCGAUGGCCACCAGCCCUCUGAGGCACCGUCUGCCCCAGUCCAUGAAGAUUGUCCAUGAGAUCAUGUACAAGGUGGAGGUGCUCUACGUGCUCUGUGUGCUGCUAAUGGGCCGUCAGAGGAACCAGGUACACAAGAUGUUAGCAGAGUUCCGUCUGAUCCCAGGUCUCAACAACCUCUUUGACAAGCUGAUCUGGAGGAAGUACACCUCGUCCGAUCACGUGGUGCAUGGCCAGAACGAGAACUGUGACUGCAGUCCUGAAAUAUCCUUCAAGAUCCAGUUUCUGAGGCUUCUCCAGAGCUUCAGUGACCACCACGAGAACAAGUACCUUCUUCUGAACAGUCAGGAGCUGAACGAGCUGAGUGCCAUUUCUCUGAAGGCCAACAUACCGGAGGUGGAGGCCUUAGUCAAUACAGACAGGAGUCUAGUGUGCGAUGGGAAGAAGGGACUCCUCACACGUCUGCUCGCCGUCAUGAAGAGGGAGCCUCCAGACUCCUCCUUUAGGUUCUGGCAGGCCAGGGCGGUGGAGAGUUUCCUCCGUGGAGCCACCUCUUAUGCGGACCAGAUGUUUCUGCUGAAGAGGGGGCUGCUAGAACACAUCCUGUUCUGCAUCAUAGACAGUGGCUGUAAGUCCAGAGAUGUCCUGCAGAGCUACUUUGACCUGCUGGGGGAACUCAUGAAGUUCAACAUCGACGCCUUCAAGAGGUUCAACAAAUAUGUCAGCACAGACGACAAGUUCCAGACCUUCAUGACCCAGAUCAACAGUUCCCUGGUGGACUCCAACAUGCUGGUGCGCUGCAUCGUCCUGUCCCUCGACCGCUUCGAGAGCCAGACAGAGGAUGUGAAAGUGGUGGAGGUGCUGUCUGAAUGCUGUCUGCUGUCCUACAUGGCCCGGGUGGAGAACAGGCUGUCCUUCCUCUUCAGGCUGGUCAAUGUCAUCAACGUGCAGACUCUCACACAGGAGAAUGUGAGCUGUCUGAACACCAGCCUGGUGGUCCUGAUGCUGGCCAGGAGGCGGGGUAAACUUCCCUUCUACCUCAACACAUUGAGAGAGAAGGAGUAUGCAGAGAAAUAUCCUGGCUGCCUGCUAAACAACUUCCACAACCUGCUGCGCUUCUGGCAGCGCCACUACCUCAACAAGGACAAGGACAGCACCUGUCUGGAGAACGUGAGUGUCCUCGCCCUGCUCUGUCCCAAACAAGGGAAAACCAGAUUUAUUUUCUUCAAAAUAUAUUAUGCAGGGAUGCAAACUUGGCGCUUCUUGGCGAUAUUCACAGUUUUGAUCUCAAAAUAGGUCAUUCACAUGAAUUGUGUCGAUCCAUAAAAACAAAAGUAUGUCUGGCAAAGUACGCAGAGUGUGUCACCCAUUGAGCUAUAAAAGAGAGGUGUGAACAGAAUCUCAAUUGCACACUCCUUGCGUCCUCUCUCCUCACCUCCUUCUCAAAACCCAUUGGAGGAGAAGGUCAGAGGGGAGGGACCUCUGGCUUUCACAUCCAUUGGGGUUUGAGGAGCGAGAAGUAUGCAAUUGAGGUUCUCCCCACUGUGUGCUCACUAACGUUACCUUCUCUGGCGGCUGAGUCAUCAUCCACUCCACACAACAAACUUUGUUCCUGACUGGGAAAUUUGGAAUGCAACUUGAGAGCUCCUGCAUCCCCUUUGACUACUGGAAGGAGACAGUGUCAGUGCUGCUGGGCUCAGACAGGACUUCUCUGUGUGCCAUAGCCAGCUACAUAGACGAGCCCUUCAUGGAGCUGGACAGGGACCUGCUGGAGGAUUAACCCAUACAGGCGGGUUUGGGUGUGGCUGGCCUGGUGGAGGGGGUAGGGGGUUGCUGGGGUAUGGACACCUAUCAUGAGUGAUGACCAUGCCAGAAAGCUAGAGCAGGACUGUAACUGUGGCUGGACACAGACUCGUUGCUAUGCUGUCUGUAACUAGGCCAGGAGGCCGUUACUGAAGGAGGGGGGGGGGGGGGGUGAUUCUACAAUCCUGGCCAUCUUCACUCCUCGCUCCAUUCUCUUCGGAGGAGAAGGGGCGAGACUGCACCUGUUUGUCUGUCCAUUACCAGACCCUACAGUAGAGAGAUACAUUUCUUGGACCUUGAAAUACUCCUAUGUUGGUGGUUUGCUUUAGGUGAAAUCAAAUAGCCUUUUAUAUAUUACAUAAAUAUAUUGAAAAAUCUAUACAUACGAUGCAACAAAUUAGAUAGGAUGUAUCUAUCUAUCCAUCUAACACAGAAAAUGGUUUGUUUUCACUGUGGGGGACUUGUUAUAAGAGGGGAGGCCCAGAGUAUGUCUGAAGACUAGUCCCCCCUGUGUCUCCUCUAGCCCACAUGGCUCUCUUAGAGAAGGGAAGUGUUGACUCCAUGUCUGUGAGCCUAAGAGGGUUGCUCAUGACUGGAUGCAGAGGUGGCAUCAGUCUUGUCCAGUGGUCUUUUGAAUGAAUGGCUUCGUCUCUGAUCUAUAUGUGUAUGUAGGGCUCUCUCUCUUAGGUGAAUCUAGUCGACUGGUACUUGUAGCUUUACUCAACCCGUCCAGGUAGCUUGUGGAUCUGUUAAUGGUUGACAUUCUAUGGGGUCCUAUGGUGGAUGAGAUGGGGCUGGACGGGACCCCCACUCACCUGAAGUCACCAACCCCUUCAUGACUUUACCCCAACACAAGGAAACAUUUUCCUUUCUGUUUUUCAGACAUUGUUUUUGUUUUUCAUCUUGUUAAGAGAAUAGCUUUUAGUUCUAAAUAAAGUGUAGAUAAAAGGAAGAAAACAUUGCACUGUUUGAAUUGUUGUUUUGUUUAUUUUGAUGACCGGUGUUUUCAUUUUGUAUCAGACUUUGUAUGCAUCAAGUGAAAGGGGGUUUGGCAAAAUAAUUAACUAUGCAGGUUCUAGUAUUCAAUCCCACUCUCUGUCGCCGACAGUUCUCACAACAGUUCCUUAACCCCUUAUCCUUGAACCAACAGCCACGCUGUGCUGCGUCACUUGAUUGUUCUCUAGUCGUCCACUUAACUCUUGACUGCUCUUAUCUUACCAUGAGCCUAGACUUCGACAAUCUUGAUCUGUCUUUGUGAUGAUUCUGUGCUUGAUGUCACCUCUAAUGUGAUUGGCUGAAGGGGGGAAUGGGAGUGGUUACAUUGCUAUGGCUCCUCUGGCUAGAAUGUGCUGAUGUUGCCGAUGCAGAGUAAGCAUUUAGCAAAAAAACUAAUCCAAGAAAUUGACCAAUGAUUGAGCUACCUCAUUUUUCAACCCAGCAAGCACCAAUUGGAUCACUCACAGGGUGUAUGUCGAAAUGGAACUAAUCCUGUUAAAACAGUUUUUUUUUUGCUAUCAUACAUUCAGUCAUGUGAACGUAUAAUCUGUUCACCAUUUGGUUUGCCCUAACAGUUGUUAUUGCUACAUAACCACAGGCUUUCCUACGAUGUGUGUUCUCGCACCAUUUGGUUUCUUUACCUACCUACACUUUACCACUACAUAAUGUGGAUGACUUGUGUUCAUGUACAUCAUGGAAGGAGCCUGCAAUGUUCAUAGGAGUCCUACCGGUGCAGCACCAUUUAGGUCAUUCUGUGUUCUUCUAGUGUUUGGAACAGAACUGUUGCCAUGAGAACUCUGUGCAUGUUCCACGCUCCCCAAAAGUCAUGAUUGCCUGUGGAAUAGCAUAUUGUCUGUUUUUUUUUUGUUGGCAUCUGGUGCAGAGUAGAUAACCUACUUUUAAAAAAUCUGGUCUUAAUUGCUAGAUAUAACUUUGAAAAUCAAACGCAGUACUGUAUUUCUAUACUAUCCAUCAUUAACAGCCACCCAGAUUUUGUACUGUUGAAACAUUGUACAUACUGUAUAUUUGGUUUUGUGCAGAUUUGCUUCACACUAAGAACUUACAUUUCAGAAGCAGCCUAUAUACAUUAAAUCCAAUACAAAAAAAAUAUGAAAGUCUGACUUUACAUUUUUAGUUGAUAAUUGGUGCUUAAUUAUUUGAAUUUGAUUGUAAUUCCUAGUCUCUUACCCUUCUUACAUCAGAUACAUUAUUUGAUGGAAUUGUUACUCUGUUCUUUGGCAUAUAUGCCAAGUUAGUUUCCUUUGUUUGACUGUGUGUGGUAUAACCCAGUCACUGUUAUCAUUGGAGAUGAAUAAUAAAAAGCAUAUGGUGUGUGUGUAUACCUAGAGAAAUUAGAUCAGCAAAACCUUUAUGUUUUCUGAAACAUGAUCAAAUCAUUUUUGUAUGUUUAUAUUUUGCUUUGACAUUGGAUAUUGGGGUGGUGAUGUUUUAGUGUACAUUGGAUUCCCCCCCCCCCACACACACACACACACACACACACCACUCCUAAUCCUGACUCAAUCCACCACAAUCCCCCUAAAAUUCAAUUUCACAACUGUUUUCUUAAUCUUAUGUUUAAUUUAACAGUCUUGUCUGUGAAUUUAAUACAAUGAUAAUCCUAAAUAAAUUCUCAACUUUCUUUUUGA
Molecule: RNA transcript, 5514 nt
Organism: Oncorhynchus kisutch (coho salmon)
Lineage: Eukaryota; Metazoa; Chordata; Actinopteri; Salmoniformes; Salmonidae
Gene name: short transient receptor potential channel 4-associated protein-like
Exons: 17
Source: RefSeq, a predicted model, not a curated record